GCCGGGAUGGGCUAGCCUGGUCUUAUGCUAGGGGACUGUGGAUCCCUUGACGCGAGUUCAAAUCUCGCUCCCGGCC
RNAcentral lists this transfer RNA (76 nucleotides) under Thermoplasmata archaeon. RNAcentral's name for it is "tRNA-His". It matches the Rfam family "tRNA". From Rfam's summary of the family: Transfer RNA (tRNA) molecules are approximately 80 nucleotides in length. RNAcentral also lists the same sequence under 3 other names. Lineage: Archaea; Methanobacteriati; Thermoplasmatota; Thermoplasmata. The record is from RNAcentral.